GUCAAACAUGAUUUAUUAUAGAGCUGUGCUUAAAUUGCAUCACCUUGUACAGAACUAUAACGCUGUUAAUUAAUUGGUGAUGCCUAACUAAUUAAGCAAAAGGCCUUUGGUUAUGGCAGUCCAGGUUAUUGCCAUAACCCACUUUCAGCAAGUCACAGUAUCUUUUAUAGAAACCGAUUCGAUCCUCCACUUUCGGGUUCGACCCUUUCCCGCAUUCG
RNAcentral lists this unclassified non-coding RNA (218 nucleotides) under Hevea brasiliensis (rubber tree). The record is from RNAcentral. Lineage: Eukaryota; Viridiplantae; Streptophyta; Magnoliopsida; Malpighiales; Euphorbiaceae.